Long non-coding RNA from Pseudomyrmex gracilis, 485 nucleotides. RefSeq lists it as uncharacterized. The transcript has 3 exons. The record is from RefSeq and is a predicted model, not a curated record. NCBI's taxonomy places the organism in Eukaryota, Metazoa, Arthropoda, Insecta, Hymenoptera, Formicidae.
UCGCGUGAAUCAUUAAAAAAAUGUCUACCUAUGCUGCCCCAUGUCACGUUGUUCAGCAACGACCACUCCCUGCUACGAUAUCUCAGAUUAAAGACUACACAUUUUACGUACCACUUCGAUUAUUCUGAUGAACACCUUGCGAUUCCACAUGAUGCGAUUAUUUAAAAAACGGUGAAACCAAACGAGCAACUAGAGAAAUGGAGAAGCGGCUGUUUGCGAAAGUGUUGUCUCUUUUCGGCGAAGCAUUACGUGAUUUCUCAGGCUAAUAACAAAACCUACUCAUUUUACUUUUGAAACGCCACUAAUCACUAAGUCACAGUAAACAGGUUGUUUUUUGCUAUGUUUUAACAAAUGUUCUUGGAGAUCUAGAGUGAGAAAAAAAAGCGAGAGAAACAAAAAGUUCAAGUCGCUUGGAACGGACUCGCUAUCGCUAAACGUUUUAGUGACCGUUCGAUAAUGGGAACCAGUGUAUUAUCACCUGCGAC